This 533-nucleotide long non-coding RNA is filed under the name Equus caballus (horse). RNAcentral describes it as "lncRNA (ENSECAG00000047689.1)". The record is from RNAcentral. Lineage: Eukaryota; Metazoa; Chordata; Mammalia; Perissodactyla; Equidae.
CACAAAGGGUCCUGGCUCCCUUCUCCCCACUCUGUGCCCGUUUCCUGAAUUAUCAGCCUCUGUUUGUGAUUCUCCUCCAAAGAAGAAUUCCUCCGCUACCAUGGCACCGACUCCUGUUUCAACCCAAAUGGCCUGGGGAAGUCUGUUCUAGUCCUCCACCUCUCUCAAAGGAUUCUUCUGGACCCCCAAGAUCAGUGCUCCUUGGACUGCAGCAGAGGAAUCAGAAACAAAUGUGAAAUGGCUCUAAUGGAAAGGAAACCACUGAUCCCAGAGUUUAUUUUGCUGGGAGAAAGAAGAAUAUUGAAUAGAAACACUCAAUUCAAUGUUGACGGAGUGCCGCCUAAAGGGUCAUCAGAGAAAAGCUGUCUAUCACGCAAAGGGUGAGAAUAGACCUCAUGACAGUCAGCCUGCAUAGAAGAACCCAAGCCAGUAGGUAUAAAUAAAUGAUCAGGAACCUGGGGCCAGAGCCAAGAGUCCCAGAGAACAAAUAGAAUUGACAUUUUGAAAUAGAUGGAGGAUAAAUAAAAAGUUUU